This 355-nucleotide ribosomal RNA is filed under the name uncultured bacterium. RNAcentral's name for it is "bacterial SSU rRNA". It matches the Rfam family "Bacterial small subunit ribosomal RNA", at positions 8 to 334 of the family's 1533-position model. The record is from RNAcentral.
AGAGUUCGAUUCUGGCUCAGGAUGAACGCUGGCGGCGUGCCUAAUACAUGCAAGUCGAACGAGUUCUGAUUAUUGAAAGGUGCUUGCAUCUUGAUUUAAUUUUGAACGAGUGGCGGACGGGUGAGUAACACGUGGGUAACCUGCCCUUAAGUGGGGGAUAACAUUUGGAAACAGAUGCUAAUACCGCAUAAAUCCAAGAACCGCAUGGUUCUUGGCUGAAAGAUGGCGUAAGCUAUCGCUUUUGGAUGGACCCGCGGCGUAUUAGCUAGUUGGUGAGGUAACGGCUCACCAAGGCAAUGAUACGUAGCCGAACUGAGAGGUUGAUCGGCCACAUUGGGACUGAGACACGGCCCAA